RNAcentral lists this long non-coding RNA (22154 nucleotides) under Nicotiana tabacum (common tobacco). RNAcentral describes it as "long non-coding RNA (NTAB_LNC007196)". Lineage: Eukaryota; Viridiplantae; Streptophyta; Magnoliopsida; Solanales; Solanaceae. The record is from RNAcentral.
UUUUACACAAGUAGAAGCCCAAAAUCGGGCAGCCCAUUCCAUUCCAUAACCCCAACCCUUUGGCCUGCCGGAUCGACCCAUCUACCCCCCCAUUUUACCCUUUAAUCUCGGCCAUCCAUUCACCAAAUCCAACAGUCCACAUUAUUUCCCCACACCCAAAUACAAACUCAGUUAUAUCACUCCAAUCUCUAACCCUAAAGACUAAACCAACCGUACCCUCUUCUCCCUCACACCUUCUGCUACCAUAACCCAGCCCAAACCUCACCAUAAACGAACCCCCAUGGUCCCCCCUCCUCUCCUUUCUCUCUUCCACGUCAUCAUGACCAUAACGAUCUCUGUCAGAAGAAAUUCCAUUUUUCCCCUUUCCACGCGCUCUUGCUUCCCUUGGAUGGAAUUCGAAUUAGUGGUAGACGUAGGAUUUGAAAACUUUAAAUCCUAGUCUUUCAUUUGUCUUAGAACCAUCCAGAAAGGAGAACAAGAGGGGAUUUUCGUUUGGGGGCAGGGGAUUUUCGGAACUUAUUGAAGGGCAAAUUCGGGUUUUUGGAGAGAUUUCUUAUUGAAGAAGGAGAAGUUUCGAGAGGGAGCUAUAUAUUUGGGGUCUGGACAGAGAUGGGUUUUUUUUUUCUUUUUUUUUUGGGUUUUAUUUUUUUCGGAGAAAAUUGACGAAAAGAAAGGAGGCUUUGUUCUUAGCUUUUGAAUUUUUAUUUUCUAUUUUCCUUUGAAUUCCAUAGAAAGAUAUAAAAAAAUACCAAAAAAUUUCAAUUCUGUCGUUUUUCUUAAUUUGUUACAAAGGCCAGAAAAUUCAAAAAGAAAGGGUUUCGUUCUUCUUCUGGAAUUCAACUGAGGUAUUAGGAGUUUGAUUGACUGGACUUGUCAUUCGAAGUCGAGUUCGCUGUUCCUGUUCAAUCUAGUUGCUGCUUUUCUCGUUCGGAUUUUGGAUUCAGAGCAUUGUCGCUGGUUCUCAUAAUUAUCCGCUACUAAGAAGGAACUCGCAUUCUCAGGUUCAUUCCCACUAUUCAUCUAUCUUAGUUUUCAUAGUAAAUUUAGCCGGAAGAGCCAUUUUAGGACCGGUUUGUUGGUAUCAUGUUUUAAUCUAUUACAUACAUAGUUAUGUUAGCAGGGGUUUGUUAAUCCCGUUUUGAUUUAAUCUGUGCCAUUGUGAUUGUUAGUCUCUUUUAGUAGCUUGUUCGUAUUUUGGAAAUGAAUUAUGUUUCAAUUUUCUUGGAUCUUAUACUGUCGUAAUGUUAUAAUAGAGAGUGUUGUGCUUGAUUGUUUGAAUAUUGUUCCAAACAUAGUGUCGAUAAUGACUAUUCUUUCAAAGUUAAGCAAAGUUCUGUUACCUUGGACCUAUCUCACAAAGUUCCGUUAAGAUUUAAGCUACUUGCCAUGAUUUGCUCAUUUUAGACAUAGACAAAUGAUAUGUAAAGCAAGCUUCUGCAGCUAUGUAUGUGUUUAGCACUGCUCUGGAUUGAAUACAACUAUCUGUUGAUGUUGCUGAUGACCCUACGUGAAGUGUCUUACUUUGUCAUUUAAUUUAAGCCCUCAUCAUACCCUACAAUUUACUUAACAUCUCUUGAACUUUCUGUUGAAAACUAUUAUUGGAAGAUGGAAACAUAUGGAACAGUGACAUUUAACUUGCCUAAUAUUUGUUCUAGUUAAUUUCUGAAUGAGUAUUACGUGAACAACAUUUAAAAUGGAUUUGUUUAGUCUCAUGAAAGUUCUGGGCGGGUUAGCAAUCUUUGAAUGGCUCUUCCAAAUGGCUAUAAUUUGCAUUUCUUUAACUCAUAGUAACUAUUAUUUUAGUUUUGUUUAGUUCAUAUUUUCUAUGAAUGCUCAAUACUUUAUACCAGAUGAUUUGUCUUGUUAAUUACUGUUGUUUGACUGUGAGUUUUAUUGAAUUAUGGAUAUUGGGACCGUGGGAAUGGGGGAAGGCCGAAACCCAUUAGCAAUUGAUUUGUCUUCAUGCUUUAGUUAUUGGGCUCGGUCUAAUAAUAAAAAUGAGAAGUUGAGAAAGGAAUGAGCAUGAUUUAGAAUUUUCUUCUACCUUAUUUAGUUUUCUUUCAUUUGUUUAUUUAAUUACAUUGUCCGCUAAGAACAUGCUUCGGCCGAUCACAUUUGGGUAGGCAAGCCUUAGGAUUUUUGUUGGUUUUGAGGCAAGAGGUCGUUCCCUUAGUUACAUUUAUCCGGGGAAUGCCCCGAAGGACUUGCAUAUAUUUUAUUCCGGGGAAUGUCCCGAAGUACUUGUAUUUGGAGACCUAAAGUAGAACUCGUAGUAUUUUAUUUUCAUUUUUAUUUUUAGUUCUUCUUUUAUUAUGUGGGAACAACCUCGAGCCUCUUGUGUGUUUAUUUUUCCGUUUCUGUGUUUUUACCUUAAUUCGAAUAUCCUAAAAAGUCAACUUGAUCAUGUAUGCAACCGUGAUUUUUACGGGACUUGGGGAGUGACUAACACCUUUUCCCCGAGUCAAAUGACCCCCCUUACCUGAAUCUCUGGUGCGGACUUGGUUUUAGAGUCUGAAAUAUUUUAAGAGGAAAAAAUUAUUUUUAAAAAAAACGGUGACCUGGCACACCGAAAUCGAAGUCAGGUGGCGACUCUGAGUUAUUUCCUUUUGAACAAUCUUUUGUCACUUUCAAAAUUGAAAAGCCCUUUCGGACUUUGCGAAAUCCUUUUAUUAUUUUUAAGAGGGUUAGUGAGGUUUGGUUAAAAAGGGGGGUGUGACAUCUCUGGCGACUCUGCUGGGGACUUGCAGGUCCGAGCUAGUACUUGAUCUUGUUGGAUUUUAGGAUAUUCGGUUGAGGUUUUUAUGUGUUUCGUUUGUUUUAUUUGAUUUUAUUUUGUUUAUUUCGUUUUAUUUGCUAGUUACUUAUUUGUUUACAGUUUUUUUAAUGUGUUACUGCUUUAUAAACUGUCAUCAUUUGCAUAACCAUAGGUCUUCUUUCUGCAACAAGUCUCGGAGUACGUGUCGCGUGCACGAACACUUUGUUGAGUUACCCUUAAUUUAGGAGGGGGAGUUGUCGGACAUAUGGAGUGGAUGGAAAGCUUGAGCAGCCACCAUCGAUCAUACACUCCCCCGAAUUGCGUUGUUAGUGAACCCCAAACUUAGGUCAGCCUUUAGGUCAUUUUUAUUUGCAUCAUGUUAUUCGGACCUAGUAGGGCUCGGUCCCAGGCACAGUGUCCCUUUAUAGGAAGCCUAUCCAAAUUUUGUCAAAAUGGGCCCGUGGCCCAAAAAGACAUUCGAUCAUUCCCAUGUGAUAUAUGUUGCAUCUUUGAGGGUAAAAAGGUCAUUUGGCGGACCGAUGUUUGGGAAAGAAAGGUGAAAAUGAAGCAAGUAGGGCUCAGUUAUAUUUUUCUUUCACGACUUUUUCAAGAAAAUACAAAAGAAAUUUUAAAAUAGAAAAUCCAAAAAAAAAAAUUACACUUUUCCAUUAUUUUCCCAAAAAUUCAAAAAAAAAUGAAUAAAAAAUGAAAAAUCCAAAAAAGAUUUUACACUUUCACUAUUUUCCAAAAAAAUUCAAAAAUGAAAAUGAAAAAGAAAAUCCAAAAAGAUUUUACAUUUUCCAUCAUUUUCAAAAAAAAAAAAGACAAAAGACAAAAAAAAUAUUUUUCUAAAUUAGUGUCAUUUCUUAAGCUUUCUCCCAUAUCUAAUCUUCCCGAACUACGCGAACCUGAUUCUCGUCUUCUGGGGUGGGAUACGUAGGCAACCAACAUAGGGUCCGGUCUUCCUAGUAGGUCCUAGGUUCUUGGCUUCUGGGGUCGUAGCCAAAUCUUGCAUGUAUAGCCAUAUUUGACCACAUUGGCCGUUUUUGCAAAAUAGAAGUGUUUUAUCAAAGUAGUUUGUUAUCUCUUGUCUUAGGAUCUUGAGUCUACAAUAAAGUGUCCUCUUAAUUCUAAGGUUCAUUCCUGUCAAAUUUGCAUAUCUAGCCACUUUUGGCCACAUCGACCAUUCUUGCAAAGUAGGAUUAUUUUCGCAAGGGUGGCUCAAUUACCCAUGUCUUAGGAUGUUGAGUUUAUAACUCGGUGUCAUAUCACUUUAAGGUCCAAUCAUGGCGUGUUUGCGUCCCUAGCCACAUUUGGCCAGAUCAGCCAUGUUUGCAAAAAAAAGGGUCCAUUUCUGCAAAGUAAUCUUUAAGACCAUGAUUGUCGGUAUUAGAGUCAUGUAAGCUUUAAAUGGAGUAUUUCUCAUGCAUUAGGGGUCAACUUUGUCAAGUUUACGCUAAUAGCUACUUUCAGCCACUUAGGCCAUUUUGCAAAUAUAGCCAAGUUGUGUCCUGCAUUUGUCCACUAGGAAAUGUGUUAGGGUCACGUAGUGUCCCGAGUCGCUAACCAUGUUUGCUUCAUUUAGGUAUGGACCUGCUGAUUCAAUCCAAAGUGCUGAUGAUAGUAAAGAUUCCUAGGAAGUUGAUCAAGUGGUGGAAAAUGUUUUCAUCGUUAGAGCAGCAUUUGUUAAUGCAGAAAUUGGGCACUCUAACUUCCCUUCUUGAGAUCACACCCCUCCCAGACUUAGUGGAGGCGAUGCUAACUUAUUGGGAUCCGCAAAAUUUGAUUUUCAGAUUUGGAGAGUGUGAGAUGACUCCUACUUUGGCGGAAAUGUCUGGUCUCACUCGUUUAAGCUAUAUAGGCAAGGACACGAUACUUCCCCGAGACCACUCUAGUACAAGAUUCCUCAGCGACCUGGGCCUGAAAGAUAAUAAGCAUUUAAAAUGUCUUGAGCAGUCCUGGAUAUCCUUGGAUUAUUUGUUUGCUAGAUUUGGACCACAGGAUAGUUUUGGCAUCUUUUGGGAUGAGUUCUGCACAACCAAGGCAAAGUGGCAAAGACGUCGCCUCGAAGCUUUCAGCCUUGCUUUGUUGGGAUUAUUGGUUUUUCCAUUAGAUGAGAGGUAAAUUAGCACCCGUCUGCAGUUAGUGGUAAUGGCACUAUUUCAUGAGAGGUAACGCAAAACCGUUACUGUUGUGCCGAUGAUCUUAGCAGAGUUGUAUCGAGCCCUGAGUGAGGUUAGGGGAGGUGUCAGAUAUUUUGAAGGAAGUAACCUUUUGCUACAGUUGUGGAUGAUGGAGCAUUUGCACAGCGCUUCCUUACUUUGUCCCAUCGAGCGUGCCUUGAGGGAUCGGGUGGUAUGCAUCGAACGUAGGAUGAAAUCUCCUAGGUUUACAUACCCAGUAGGCGUCCUGGCUUGGAUUGAGUUCCUUGGUUCGAGGACAAAUGGGAAUGUUUUGUGGGCUUACAUUUGGCUACCUUUGGAUGAUAUCUUGGUAGGGUGCCUCAUGCAGCCUUUCCUGAUGCUGAUAGGACUUAAGUGUAUCAGACUGUAUACUCCCGUUAGGGUAAUGCGGCAAUUGGGCAGAAGACAAGAGGAGCCUCCAACUUUGAAUCUUCGGAGGCAUAUCAUAAAUUUUAGCAAAAAAGCGGCUGAUGAAAUCAAGUAUGUGCAAUACUGGAACAAUGCAAAGAGGAUGAAGAAAAAUAUAUUAGUAGACAACGUUGGUAGGCCGAGUGUACUCAGGAGUACUUGAUUUGGUUACAGUCCGUCCCGACAGGGGUCAACACCCCAUUGCCAGCACAACUUAGGGGUCGGGCAAUUCAGACAGAUGAUUUUGAGGAGGCAUCGGACCAAGAUCCCUGGGAUAAGCUUGAGUUGAUAAAGUCUCAGUUAGCGGGAUUGGCAGCGAACGUGGAGCAGCAUGGCCAGUAUUUGUUUAGGGUCGACAUUCAGGAUGCGGGGGCACACACCAAGGCCUUUAUUCCCAGCAUUGGUGUUUCUUUACGAGGCAUGUUACAGAGUUUGAGCAUGACGGACAGCCCAGGACCAUCCCUGUCAGGACAAUCGCAUUCAGGAGCAGCUUGAGGAGUCAUUCUAUUUAGGUGUUUUGAGAUUGUCUUAUGUUGUCUUUUUCUUUCGUGUCUUGUCUAGAAGUACCGAGUCCUUUAGGUAGUGUCAGAGUCUGUCGUAGUGUAGUUGAGUCUGUCAUGUCUUUCAUUAUCAUGUUUCCCUUUGUAUUUUAAUAUCAAAAUGUUUUAAAUGAAAAAUCCCAAAAAGAUUUUGUUUUCAAUUUAUUUUCCACCACUUCUCCAGAACUACGCUUGGUCUGAUUCAUGAGGGAUAUGAUACGUAGGCAACCCACAUCGGAUUCGAUCAAAUAAUUUUUGGUUCAAAAUAAAAAGAGAAAGAAAAAGAAAAGAGUGAUAAGAGGUGUUGGAAAAGAAAGAGAAGAAAGGAUUGAAAUGAGCAAAUUGGGAUGAUGCCAUAUAACCCUGCGACCCUCAAAGCCAUUUUAGAACCGUUAAUUGUUGCUAGGUGCAUUGCACGUAAUGUGAUAUUAUUAUUUGAUAAAUGCUCUAACGCUAACAUGGUGGUUUUGUGUUGUUAUCCUCUAUUAUCUCUAUUAAGUUUCAGGAAGGUGGUUAGUUUGUUGCCAUCCUGGCAAGUCAUCCAUACAACACCCGAUCAAAGCGACAAACAUUCAUGGUUAGCAAGGAAAUAGACACUGGAGUUGUAGACCCAACAAGGGAGAUUGUUGAGUUGGAAUCGGAACUGCAAGAGGAGGUUCGGAGGUUGAAGCAUCAGAUGGAAGAAAUGUAUCAAGCCUGGAUUAAGGGACAUCCUCCACCCUCGUUCCCUACCAACUACACAGAAAACCCUGCUUCCAUUCCACCACUCUCUCAAUCCCAGAUGACCAAUACCAUUGAUCUUUCCCCACAACAUGCACCUGGCUUUACCCCUUACCACAACUACCCCGGCACUUCAGCCCAAAUAGUUCAUGCUCCGCCAGCCAAAACAACCUCAUACCCUACUCCGACAUCUGCUCCUAUUUUUGUACCCCCUCCAUAAGCUACCCUCCACCGAUCCUCUAAUGAGCCCGCAUUCCCCGCUAUAGAUGCCCACUACUAUGCACCGGAGCCCACCUUCAAAGUCCUAGAUCCUUACUCUUACAAUCCCCAAUUUGAGCCUCAUGUUGAAACUGACAAACCACCUAAGAACGCAGAGCAAGAAGAGAUGUUUAGGAAGGUACAAAGUCUAGAGCAAUCAUUGAGAAAUAUGAAAGGGUUGGGAAACCAAGUGAGUGUGGCCUAUAAGGAUUUGUGUUUGUUCCCCGAUGUCCAAUUGCCUGCCGGGUUCAAGAUGCCCAAGUUUGACUUGUAUGACGGACAUGGGGAUCCUGUAGCUCAUCUAAGAGGUUAUUGCAGUAAAUGAGAGGCGCCGGGGGAAAAUAUGAAUUACUAAUGGCAUACUUCAGCCAAAGUCUGAGUGGGGCAUCUUAGAAUGGUACACCCGCCAGGACGCCAGCAGGUGGUACACCUGGGACGAUAUGGCUCAGGCCUUUGCCCGACACUUUCAGUACAAUAUAGACAUUGUUCCAGACCGCCUAUCUCUGACCAAGGUGGAAAAGAAACCCAGUGAAAGCUUUAGAGAAUAUGGGUUCCGAUGGAGGGAGCAAGCUGCACGAGUCAAUCCUCUGAUGGAAGAGGACGAGAUGGUUAAAUACUUUAUUCAAGCCCUGGAGCCCACUUACUAUGGCCACUUGAUCUCAGCCAUUGGUAAGUCUUUCAAUGACGUGGCGAAGAUGGGAGAAAUGGUGGAAGAGGGGCUCAAGUUGAGUAAGAUCAUGAGCUAUUCUGCUAUAAAAGCAACCACCCAGGCAAUCCAGAGUGGUACCGGAAGUUUGGUAGGCAAGAAGAAGAAGGAAUAUGUCGCUAUGUUUGUCUCCGCAUCAUGGCAUGGCCAGAGGGGUUCACCUCAUCAGUACACCCAUCCUCGACCCCGACCUCAAACCUACGCCUAAGCUCCAUAUAAUCCACCUCAACAUUACUUUUCCCCGCAAAACCCCCAAUACUCAGCCAGGCCAUCCCAAUACCUUGUUCACCAUACACAGUCAUAUGCUCAACCCCCUCUUUACCCGUAAUGGUGUGCUCCAGCUCCAAAAAAUAUCUACCCAGCUCCACAAAAUACCUAUCCACCCCUACAGCCCUAUCAAAACCCCACUGGUUCAAAUUUUCGAUCAAGGCCAGAGUAUAGGAGAGAGAGGCAACAACGAAAACAAACUUUUACCCCGCUUGGAGAGUCCUAUGCUAGUCUGUUUCAAAGGUUAAGGCAGUUGGAUGUCUUGAAGCCGAUUGAGUCAAAGAUACCAAAUCCCCCUCCAAAGAACCUCGAUUAUUCCCUAAGAUGCGCCUAUUGUUCUGAUGCUCUAGGGCAUGACAUAGAGAAGUGUUGGCAUUUGAAAUGGGCAAUUCAGGAGCUCAUUGAUACAAACCAAAUUAUAGUCCAAAGCUCAGAUACGCCAAACAUCAACCAAAACCCUUUGUCAACCCAUGCAAAGACACAUAUGAUUGAAAUAGUUCAUAAGGAUGGGGAGCCCAAGAAGUCUUCUAAGUCCGUCAUGAUGAUUCGGGCCAGUGAAAGAAAUUUGGUUAAAGCUCCAGACUCUACCAAAGCAAAGCUCUUGACAGUCGAAGGGGUGACAGAGAAGCCAAGUUCACUCAGUUCGAAACCACCAGUGUUGGUCGUGAAAGGGCUAUCGAAAGAUAUCAGGGCAAGUUUGGAAAGUUCAAAAGUGGUAGUACCAGGGAUUCCAAGUAAGCCUGUCAUAGUUGUGAAAGGGGCUCCUAUUACCACUAUCAUUAUUAGACCAGUAACCCAGCUGCUAGUGGUCGAUGCCAAGGCUGUUCCAUGGAAUUAUAAACAAGUGAUAGUGACAAACAAAGGAAAAGAAAUAAAGGAAGAAGUUAAUGAAACUGGAGGAUUGACUUAUUCUGGGAGAUGUUUCACCCAAGAAGAAUUAAGGAAAGCCAAGCCAUUCAAGGAUAGCCAAAUGCCAGUAAAGAAAUCGGUUACCGAGGAAGAGGCUGAGGAGUUCCUGCAAAAGAUGAAAGUGCAGGAUUAUUCCAUUGUGGGGCAGUUGAGGAAAACACCAGCUCAGAUUUCUCUUUUGUCUUUGUUGAUACAUUCAGAUGAACAUUGCAAGGUCUUGAUAAAGAUUUUGAAUGAGGCACAUGUUCCUGAUAAGAUCACAGUGAACCACUUGGAAAAGAUAGCUAGCGAGAUCUUCAAAGCAAACAGGAUCACUUUCUCGGACGAUGAACUUCCUAUGGAGGGAACAGAACACAACCGAGCUCUUUAUCUCACAGUGAAGUGCGAACAUUCUGUUGUCUCAAGGGUUUUGGUUGAUAAUGGAUCUAGUGCGAAUAUUUGUCCCUUGUCUACCCUACAAAAACUGAAGUUUGGCACCGAAAGAAUCCACUUGAAUAGUGUAUGUGUCCGAGGCUUUGAUGUGGGAGGCAAAGAUUCUGUUGGAGAUAUAAUGCUCGAAUUGUCGAUAGGUCCAGUUGAGUUUAUCAUGGAAUUCCAAGUGUUAGAUGUGACUGUCUCCUACAAUAUGUUGUUGGGCAGGCCUUGGAUACAUGCUGCUAAGGCAAUCCCAUCUUCUCUGCACCAAAUGGUGAAGUUUGAAUGGGACAUGCAGGAAAUAGUUGUGCACGGUGACGAAGACUUAUCAGCUUAUAAUGAUACAAUUGUUCUGUUCAUCGAAGCUGAAGAUGAUAAGGUACCUUGGGUCUAUCAGACUUUCGAAACAGUGUCUGUUGAGAAAAUUCCUGAGGGAAAAUGCAUUCCGGGUCCUAAGCUAUCCUCCGCGUCCGUCAUGGUUGCGAAGGAAAUGUUGAAGAAUGGUUUUGUACCAGGCAAGGAUUUGGGCCCAUCUCUGCAGGGUAUUGUGCAUCCAGUGCGCCCCAGUGGAAAUCCUGGUACAUUUGGUUUGGGAUUCAUGCCCACAGAGAAGGACAUGAAAAGGGUUAAAAAUCUGAAACAGAAGGUAUGGUCGCUCCCCAAGCCCGUCCCACACAUCUCUAAGUCUUUUGUCAAGCCAGGGAUCGAAAAACCUCCAACCUCCUCAAUCCCAAAACCUGUGGUCGAUGUUGAUGAAGAGCUGAUUAAGAGGUUCCAAAGUCUGUUCGAAGAGGUCAUUAUGGUAGAAGUUGGUGAAGGCUCUAGUAAAGCAAAUGUGCAGCUCGUUGGCCCAAACGUGAAGCUUAGAAAUUGGGAAGCCACUUCUCUCUCCACCAGGAAGGAGUUUUGGUAGUUUGCUUUGUUUUCCUUUCUGUUGUUUGGGUUAUUCCAGGGUUGUAAUACAUAUUUUUAGUUUUUUCUUGUUUUGAUGUUCAAACCCUUCUAUCCUUUUAUUUUCAAUGAAAUGAAAUUUUCCGUUUUCCGUUAUUCUUAAUAGUGUUUUAUUUUGUUCAUUUUUCUUUUGUACAGUUCUUUUUAUGCUGGUUGCAGUGACAUGAUAUGCAUGAAGAAUUUUCAGCCGAAUCUUAAAAGCCAAUCUAAUCCUGAAAUAACAAUCCAAGAAGUAGAAUCUGAUGAUGAAACAGAAUAUGAUGACAAAGCAGCAUUUGAGGAAAUCAGUAAAGAGCUAAAACAAUUUGAAGAAAAAAAAACUAAUUUGAGUGAGACCGAAGCAAUCAAUUUAGGGGACCAGGAUGAUGUUAGGGAAACCAAGAUAAGUGUGCAUUUAGAACCGCAAGUUAAGGAGGAAAUAAUCAAAAUAUUGUUUGAGUACAAAGAUGUCUUUGCAUGGUCAUAUGAUGAUAUGUCGGGCCUGAGCACUGAUCUGGUAGUUCAUAAAUUGCCAACUGAUCCAACAUGCCCUCCUGUCAAGCAAAAGUUGUGAAAGUUCAAGACUGAUAUGAGUGUGAAGAUCAAAGAAGAAAUCACAAAGCAACUUACUGCAAAGGUCAUUCGAGUCACUCGAUAUCCUACUUGGUUAGCCAAUGUUGUGCCAGUACCAAAGAAGGAUGGUAAGACCAGGGUCUGUGUUGAUUACCGUGAUCUUAACAAAGCAAGCCCGAAGGAUAAUUUUCCAUUGCGGAACAUUCACAUUCUGAUCGAUAAUUGUGCCAAGCAUGAGAUUGGGUCUUUUGUGGACUGUUAUGCGGGAUAUCACCAGAUCUUGAUGGAUGAGGAAGAUGCUGAAAAGACAGCAUUCAUCACACCAUGGGGAAGAUACUGUUAUCGGGUAAUGCCAUUUGGUUUGAAGAAUGCUGGGGCAACUUACAUGAGGGCAAUGACCACUAUAUUUCACGACAUGAUACAUAGGGAGAUCGAGGUUUAUGUAGAUGAUGUGAUCAUAAAGUCAAAGAAGUAGUCUGACCAUGUCAAGUACCUGAGGAUGUUUUUCCAAAGGCUCCGCAGGUACAACCUCAAGCUCAAUCCAGCAAAAUGUGCAUUUGGUGUCCCGUCUGGGAAACUGCUAAGAUUCGUGGUCAGUCGACGAGGUAUUGAGUUAGACCCGUCGAAGAUCAAAGCUAUUCAAGAGUUAACGCCGCCAAAGAACAAAACAGAGGUGAUGAGUUUGCUUGGAAGGUUAAAUUACAUCAGCAGGUUUAUUGCUCAGAUCACGACAACUUGUGAGCCCAUUUUUAAGCUGCUGAAGAAGAAUGUUGCGGUCAAGUGGACUGAUGAAUGUCAAGAAGCAUUUGAUAAGAUUAAGAUAUACCUGUCGAAUCCACCUGUAUUGGUCCCACCAGAGCCUAGAAGACCUUUAUUUCUCUCUUUGACAGUCUUGGAUAAUUCUUUUGGCUGUGUAUUGAGUCAACAUGACAUCACGGGAAAGAAGGAGCAAGCAAUCUAUUAUCUCAGUAAGAAGUUCACUCCCUAUGAGGUUAAGUACACUCUGCUUGAGAGGACAUGUUGCGCCCUGACUUGGGUGGCACAAAAGUUGAAGCAUUAUCUGUCGUCCUACACUACUUACCUCAUUUCCCACAUGGAUCCUCUAAAGUAUAUCUUUCAGAAGCCUAUGCCCACGGGAAGACUAGCGAAGUGGCAGAUUUUACUUACAGAGUUUGACAUCAUCUAUGUGACUCGGACCAUGAUGAAAGCCCAAGCCUUGGUCGACCACUUAGCCGAGAAUACGGUGGAUGAUGAAUAUGAGCCACUGAAGACUUAUUUUCCUAAUGAAGAGGUCAUGAGUGUUGACGAGAUUGACCAUGAUGAAAAGGCGGGUUGGAAACUCUUUUUUGAUGGAGUUGCUAACAUGAAAGGUGUCGGAAUAGGGGUUGUACUUAUCUCUGAAACAGGGCAACACUACCUUGUAACAGCCCAGCUUCGAUUUUAUUGCACCAACUAUAUGGCUAAGUACGAAGCAUGCAUUCUGGGUUUGAGGUUAGCUAUAGACAUGGGAGUCUAGGAAAUACUUGUUCCGGGAGAUUCAGAUUUGUUGGUUCACCAGAUUCAAGGAGAAUGGGAGACUCGAGAUUUGAAGCUCACACCGUACCGACAGUGCCUGCAUGAUCUUUGCCAAUGAUUCAGGUCGGUCGAAUUUAGACAUAUUCCCAGGAUUCAUAAUGAGAUUGUUGAUGCCUUGGCUACUCUGGCGUCAAUGUUACAUCAUCCAGACAAGGCUUAUGUUGACCCCGUGCAUAUCCAAGUUUAUGAUCAACAUGCUUAUUGUAAUGUGAUGGAAGAAGAAAUCAAUGGCGAACCUUGGUUCCACGAUAUCAAUGAAUACAUCAGGUUGGGGGUAUAUCCAUUACAUGCUACAGGUGACCAAAAGAGAACCAUUCGAUGUCUGGCUAGUGGAUUUUUUUUAGUGGAGGAAUCUUGUACAAGAGGACUCCGGACUUAGGACUGCUGAGGUGCAUAGAUGCUAAAGAAGCUUCAACUAUCAUGGCUGAAGUACAUUCUGGAGUUUGCGGGCCGCAUAUGAACGAGUAUGUUUUGGCAAAGAAGAUACUUUGAGAAGGUUAUUAUUGGCUCACCAUGGAACGGGAUUGUAUCAAUUUUGUUCGCAAAUGUCAACAAUGCCAGGUACACGGUGAUUUAAUUCAUUCUCCCCCAUCCGGGUUACACACAAUGGCUGCACCUUGGCCCUUUGUUGCUUGGGGCAUGGAUGUUAUUGGACCAAUUGAGCCGGCAGCGUCAAGCGGGCAUAGAUUCAUUCUGGUGGCCAUUGAUUACUUUACCAAGUGGGUCGAAGUUGUAACUUUCAAGUCCGUGACCAAGAAGGCAGUAGUGGAUUUUGUUCAUUCAAAUAUCAUUUGUCGGUUUGGAAUUCCCAAGGUGAUCAUCACAAACAAUACUGCUAAUCUAAAUAGUCAUUUGAUGAAAGAGGUAUGCCAACAGUUCAAGAUCAUGCAUCGGAACUCCACCCCGUAUCGCCCCAAGGCAAAUGGAGUUGUUGAGGUUGCUAACAAGAACGUAAAGAAGAUACUUCGUAAGAUGGUUCAAGGUUCUAGGUAGUGGCAUGAAAAGUUGCCUUUUGCCUUACUGGGUUAUCGCACUACUGUUCGCACUUCAGUAGGUGCAACUCCUUAUCUGAUGGUAUAUGGAACUGAGGCAGUUAUACCUACAGAAGUUGAGAUUUCAUCCCUUCGGAUCGUUGCAGAAGCUGAAAUUGAUGAUGAUGAGUGGGUCAAAACCCGGCUAGAGCAGUUGAGUUUGAUUGAUGAGAAAAGAUUGGCUGCAGUAUGUCAUGGUCAAUUGUAUCAGAAGAGAAUGGAUAGAGCAUACAACAAAAAGGUGCGUCCUCGAAGAUUUGAAGUGGGCCAGAUGGUAUUGAAACGCAUCCUUCCUCAUCAGGUGGAAGCCAAAGGCAAGUUCGCCCCAAACUGGCAGGGGCCAUUCGUUGUGACAAGAGUGUUGCCCAAUGAUGCUUUGUAUUUAACAGACAUAGAAGGCAAAUAUGUAGAUAUGACUAUCAAUUCUGAUGCAGUUAAGAGGUACUAUGUAUGAUUUCUUUGCUUACCUUCAGUUGUAUUUUGUACUUGGCAUGUUCAAAAAUGAAAUGACGAGGGCAUUUUGUUCCGCUACCCAAACACUUCCAUCCUUUGUUACCCCUUUUGAGCUUUAUUUAUUUUCUUUCAUACCCCUCUUUUGGAAUUAAUAACAGAAUUAGAGAACUAAAAAAAUGAAUGAAUGAAUGAAAAAUAAGAAGAAUGAAAAAGAAAGAAAAAGAAGAAGAAAAAAGAGAAAAGAAAAAAAAGAAAGAAAGAAGAGAAAAAAAAGAAAAAAAGAGAAAAAAAGAAAUAAAAAAAAAAAAAGAAGAAAAAAAGAGAGAGAAAAAACAACUUCCUUUUGAACUACGUUCGACCUGAUUCCUUUUAAGGAUACGUAGGCAGCCUUACGGUUCGGUCUCAUCAAAAGAAAAUUUAAAAUUCCCCAGACCCAAAGAAACUGGGGCAGAAGUUUUGGUUUUGAAAAGAUCUGAUUCCAAAAGUUGUAAUUUUGACCCCUUUUCAUCUUAAGUUAGUUUGAGCCUUCAUGCCACCCUUUCUUUCUAACCUUGUCCAAAAGCCUACAUUACGAUCCAAAGAAAGACCUUUCGAUCAAUCUUUGAGGAUGCCAGGUCAAGCGAGAUAGAGGUAUGAUUUACAUCAUGGGUAACACUUUGUUCAUGGGCGCAGGAGAGAAAAUUUAAAAUGAGAGAGUCUUAUUGGUGAAAACCCCCACGGGCACCAUAAAGGCGAUGGUGAGUUGAGAGAAAAUUUAAAAUGAGAGAUUCUUAUUGGUGAAAACCCUCGCGGGCACCGUAAGGCGAUGGUGAGUUGAGGGAUGAACAAAUGAGAGAGGCUUGUUGGUGAAAACCCUUCAGGGCACUACAAGUCGAAUGAGGCUCAUGACUUUACAGAGAAAUUGGACCAUUGAAAGCCCGGUUUUUAAAGUAUGAAGACAUGACAUGAACUGAAAAUAUGAUUGGUUGGACGGAUUAGGCUGAUCAGUCCAAAUUGCAUGUCAUGAUCAUUGGAGCUGGCUGCUUCCCUCAGAUAAGUCUUCUUUUCUCAUUCUUCUUCAUAUAGUCAUCUCUGCUCAAAAUUUUCCUUUGUUCCUUUUGUCAAAAAUUAUUCACUUUGCUCUUUGAGUCUAUCUUAAUGGGUCUCUUUUGAGUCAGCCCUUGUUGAACAAGCAGGAAAGGAUUUCAUAGCCUACUACCAGCUUCUAAAUUGCACAAAACGGAGUCCGGCCAGACACAUCACAAUUGACUUGAUUUUGAAUAAGCAGUAUGGUGAUAACUGAGGUUCAGGCAAUCAUGUGAAUCUUGAAUUUUGAGAAAAUAGAAGGAUUCAACAACUUUCAAAAUGAAAACACAAUGUGACAAGUGAGUGUGAGAGAUUCAGGUCAUGCAGAGAUUUUGUGGUCCAGUUCUAAUCAAAAGGUCAAACAACUUCUUGCUAUCCCAAAGCAGCUAAUCAGAAUGAAGCAUUGCAGUAGCGGAAGCAGACACUCAGCAAGAAUGUCACAAACUAACCACCCCAUUUUCAAACUAACAAGAUUUUAUUUGUCUGAAACAUGGGCAAGAAAAUUUUUAAAUCCACAGGGACCUCCCAUGAAAAAGCAUGGUCCAGGGAGCAAGAAAUUAUGUUCAGAAUCCUCAAAGAUGAGAGCAUGGCUCAGGUAAGUUCAUUCUAGUUUUCAGGACCCUCCUGGAUAAUGGGAUUUAAUUUAAAAUUUUCAGGACCCUCCUGGAUAAUGGGAUUUAAUUCAAAAGCUUNNNNNNNNNNNNNNNNNNNNNNNNNNNNNNNNNNNNNNNNNNNNNNNNNNNNNNNNNNNNNNNNNNNNNNNNNNNNNNNNNNNNNNNNNNNNNNNNNNNNNNNNNNNNNNNNNNNNNNNNNNNNNNNNNNNNNNNNNNNNNNNNNNNNNNNNNNNNNNNNNNNNNNAAAGCUUUUAAUUUAAAAGUUUUCAGGACCCUCAUGGAUAAUUUGAUUUAAUUUAAAAGCUUUCAGGAUCCUCCUAGAUAAUGGGAUUUAAUUUUAAAAGUUUUUAGGACCCUCCUUGAUAAUGGGAUUUGAUUUUAAAAGUUUUCAGGACGCUCCUGGAUAAUGGAUUUAGUAUUUAAAUUUUCAGGACCCUCCUGGAUAAUGGGAUUUAAUUUUAAAAGCCCUCAGGAACCUCCUGGAUAAUGGGAUUUAGUUUUUAGAUUUUUAGGACCCUCCUGGAUAAUGGGAUUUAAUUUUAAGUUUUAGCGUAAGUUCUCCCUUUAGAAAAUAUAAUUUAGCCUUAAAGUUAUCACUCUUAAGAUGAGAUUCAAUUUGAAGUUUUCAGGGCCCUCCUGGAUAAUGGGAUUUAGCUUUUAAAUUCUUAGAGCUCUGUAGGUAACAUGAUCCAAUUAACACUCACAAAUAUGCCUAGAUCCCAAACUGGGGCAGAAAAAUUUCUUUUGUUUUGACUGUUUUGUAGCAAUCAGGCACCCAACUGGAUAAUGAGGGAAUACAGUUUUAAGUUUUAGCAAUCAGGUGCCCACCUGGAUAACGAGGGAAUACAGUUUCAAGUUUUAGCAAUCAGGCGCCCAACUGGAUAACGAGGGAACACAAUUCAAGUUUUGGAAAUCAGGCACACACCUGGAGAACGAGGGAACUCAUUUUAUACCAAAGUCAAGCUAUUGGCAGGCGCCCACCUGGAGAACGAGGGAAUUCAUUUCAGAGUUACUUCAAUUCGCAAAUUCAAGAAGUAUCAGGAGCCCGCCUGAAGAACAUGGUUCAUUUUUCAGUUGCAUAUUGAAGAUCAAGUAGAGAUUCACGGAAGAUUCAAGAUAAGAAGUAGAUAGGAUCUUGUAUUUUCCUUUUACUUUUGCUGUAAUUUUUCCUUUUAUUUUUUAUGUAAUGGCAGGAACCGCGGACCGGAACCUCGACGACACUUCACUCGACUCUCCACCUCGGUACUCCAUUGCUCCUCACACUCUGAGCUACACGUGACCUGAUUCCUUUAUAGUCAAGGAUAUGUAGGCAGCUCAGAUACCAGGGCUCGGUUACAAUCUUUUUUAGCCAACUUUAUUUUCUUUUGAAUAAGUGUCGGGUCAUAAAUCAAUUACGUUGCUUAUUGUUCUUUGCUCCGAAAACUCUUUGUGUUUCCAAACAAAGAGGGACAGCUGUAAGACGUAAUUUUUGACCCACGCAUUAGAAUUACCUUUAAUGGUCCUAGUAUUUUUAGGAUAUCUAUUUAAACUUAUUUCUAUAAGAUUUCACUUUAUUAUUAAAUUCAAUAUAAAAGAAUACAAAAAUAAUAAUAAAUAUAUGUAUAUAGUUUCAUGUUUUAUCUUAUUUCUAUUUAGUUUAGGCUAUUAAGAUUUUUAUAGCCAUAUAUUUUAUUUUACUAUGAUUUUCACUCUUACUUUUUAUUUUAUAUAAAACAUGAUAUAUUAAAAAAUAUAUAGUUUCAUAUUAUUACAUAGUUUAUUUAAUUAAUUGAAAUUAGUUUAGUUUUAAUUUAAAAAAGAUUGGGUUGGCUAUUUAAUGGACUUUUAAAAAUUGAAGAAGUACAAAAUCUUGGCCCAAUUUUACACAAGUAGAAGCCCAAAAUCGGGCAGCCCAUUCCCUUCCUUAACCCCAAUCCUUUGACCCGCCGGAUCGACCCAUCUACCUGCCCAUUUUACCCUUUAAUCUCGGCCAUCCAUUCACCAAAUCCAACGGCCCACAUUAUAUCCACACACCCAAAUACAAACUCAGUUAUAUCACUCCAACCCCUAACCCUAAAGACUAAACCAGCCGCACCCUCUUCUCCCUCACACCUUCUGCUGCCAUAACCCAGCACAAACCUCACCAUAAAUGAACCCUCAUGGUCCCCCCUCCUCUCCUUUCUCUCUUCCACGUCCUCAAAACCAUAUUGAUCUCUGUCAGAAGAAGAUAUUUCAUUUUUCCCCUUUCCACGCGCUCUUGCUUCCCUUGGAUGGAAUUCGGAUUAAUGGUAGACGUAGGAUUUGAAAACUUUAAAUCCUAGUCUUCCAUUUGUCUCAGAACCAUCCAGAAACAAGAACAAGAGGGGAUUUUCGUUUGGGGGCAGGGGAAUUUCUGAAUUUAUUGAAGGGCAAAUUCGGGUUUUUAGAGAGAUUUCUUGUUGGAGAAGGAGAAGCUUCGAGAGGAAGCUAUAUAUUUGGGGUCUGGACAGAGAUGGGUUUUUUUUUCUUUUUUUGGGUUUUGUUUUUUUCGGAGAAAAUUGACGAAAAGAGAGGAGGCUUUGUUCUUAGCUUUUGGAUUUUUGUUUCCUGUUUUCCUUUGAAUUCCAUAGAGAAGAUAUAAAAAAAUACCAAAAAAUUUUAAUUCUGUCGUUUUUCUUAAUUUGUUACAAAGGCCAGAAAAUUCAAAAAGAAAGGGUUUCGUUCUUCUUCUGAAAUUCAACUGAGGUAUUAGGAGUUUGAUUGACUGGACUUGCCGUUCGAAGUCGAGUUCGCGGUUCCUGUUCAAUCUAGUUGCUGCUUUUCUCGUUCGGAUUUUGGAUUCAGAGCAUUGUAGCUGGUUCUCUUAAUUAUCCGCUAUUAAGAAGGAACUCGCAUUCUCAGGUUCAUUCCCAUUAUCCCAUCUAUCUUAGUUUUCAUUGCAAAUUUAGCCGGAAGAGCCAUUUUGAGACCGGUUUGUUGGUAUCAUGUUUUAAUCAAUUAGAUAUAGAGUUAUGUUAGCAGGGGUUUGUUAAUCCCGUUUCGAUUUAAUCUGUGCCAUUGUGAUUGUUAGUCUCUUUCAGUAGCUUGUUCGUAUUUUGGAAAUGAAUUGUGUUUCAAUUUUCUUGGAUCUUAUACUGUCGUAAUGUUAUCAUAGAGAGUGUUGUGCUUGAUUGUUUGAAUAUUGUUCCAAACAUAGUGUCGAUAAUGACUAUUCUUUCAAAGUUAAGCAAAGUUCUAAUACCUUGGACCUAUCUCACAAAGUUCCGUUAAGAUUUAAGCUACUUGCCAUGAUUUGCUCAUUUUAGACAUAGACAAAUGAUAUGUAAAGCAAGCUUCUGCAGCUAUGUAUGUGUUCAGUGCUGCUCUGGAUUGAAUACAACUAUCUGUUGAUGUUGCUGAUGACACUACGUGAAGUGUCUUACUUUUUCAUUUAAUUUAAGCCCUCGUCAUACCCUACCAUUUACUUAACGUCUCUUGAACUUUCUGUUAAAAACUAUUAUGGAAACAUAUGGAACAGUGACAUUUAACUUGCCUAAUAUAUGUUCUAGUUAACUUCUGAAUGAGUAUUACGUGAACAACAUUUAAAAUGGAUUUGUUUAGUCUUAUGAAAGUUCUGGGCGGGUUAGCAAUCUUUGAAUGGCUCUUCCAAAUGGCUAUAAUUUGCAUUUCUUUAACUCGUAGUAACUAUUAUUUUAGUUUUGUUUAGUUCAUAUUUUCUAUGAAUACUCAAUACUUUAUGUCAGAUGAUUUGUCUUGUUAAUUACUGUUGUUUGACUGUGAGUUCGAUUGAAUUAUGGAUAUUGGGACCGUGGGAAUGGGGAAAGGCCGAAUCCCAUUAGCAAUUGAUUUGUCUCCAUGCUUUAGUUACUGGGCUCGGUCUAAUUAUAAAAAUGAGAAGUUGAGAAAGGAAUGAGCAUGAUUUAGAAUUUUCUUCUACCUUAUUUAGUUUUCUUUCAUUUGUUUAUUUAAUUACAUUGUCCGCUAGGAACAUGCUUCGGCCGAUCACAUUUGGGUAGGCAAGCCUUAGGAUUUUUGUUGGUUUUGAGGCAAGAGAUCGUUCCCUUAGUUACAUUUAUCCGGGGAAUGCCCCAAAGGACUUGCAUAUAUUUUAUUCCGGGGAAUGCCCCGAAGUACUUGUAUUUAGAGACCUAAAGUAGAACUCGUACUAUUUUAUUUUCAUUUUUAUUUUUAUUUCUUCUUUUAUUAGGUGGGAACAACCUCGAGCCUCUUGUGUGUUUAUUUUCCCGUUUCUAUGUUUUUACCUUAAUUCGAAUAUCCUAAAAAGUCAACUUGAUCAUGUACGCAACCGUGAUUUUCACGGGACUUGGGGAGUGCCUAACACCUUCUCCCCGAGUCAAGUGAACCCCCUUACCUGAAUCUCUGGUGCAGACUUGGUUUUAGAGUCUGAAAUAUUUUAAAAGGAAAAAAUCAUUUAAAAAAACGGUGACCUGGCACACCGAAAUCGAAGUCAGGUGGCGACUCUGAGUUAUUUCCUUUUGAACAAUCUUUUGUCACUUUCAAAAUUGAAAAACCCUUUCGGGCUUUGCGAAAUCCUUUUAUUAUUUUUAAGAGGGAUAGUGAGGUUUGGUUAAAAAAGGGGGUGUGACAAGUAGUACUUAUGGAAAUUGUAAUCUACAUUAUUUUGCCAAGGGGCAUAAAUCACAGCCACUAACUUCACUACUGCUAAUUUUAUUCUUUAUGCUUGGAAUUUGCUGAACAGUCCUCAUGGCUGCAUGUCCCAACCUCAGAUAUCAAAGACUAGAUUCUAAUUCGUUUCUCUAAAUUACACCAGCUAACAUUGACAUUGCUGCUUUCUUAUUCAACAAGUACAAGCCUGCUGGCUCUUUACCAAUCCUCGGUACCUUCCCACUUAAGAGUUCCUGAAACAGACAGAAAUUAGGGUAGAAGCUAACCCAACAUCUGAGAUCCCUAGUAAGCUUUGACACUAACAGUAGAUUGAACUUAAAAUCAAGUACGUGUAACACAUUCUUUACCUACUGAUCUGCUAAAAUGUAUGCAUUUUCAGUAUGUUCUAUCUUUGCUCUUAUUCUAGUUGGUAAUUGCACUCCUUGUUACUCUGAUCCUCCAUACUCUUAACAUUACUCAGGACCUCUUUAUUGUGAGUAACGUGAUGUAUAACUCCUGAAUCUAUUAUCCAAUCUACCAUUGAAGCACUAGAAAAUAGGAAAAUUAUAUUUGUAAUGUUGGAUGAGCAUUGUCCAACUUGUGGUUUGUUUAGUAGUCCCACUAGCUGAUUCUAUUGAUCCUCAGUUAGCACAUGUCCUUAAAAUUGAUUCACAGUUGACCCCAACUCUUCAGUGCUCGCUGCAUUAGCAUAGGUCUUUGGUCCUCCACUCUGAAACUUCUUUUUGCUUUUGAAAUCUGCUCGAUAACCAAUAUUUUGUAGCAAUUUUCUUUCAAGUGUCCUUUUGUAGCCACAGAGCUCACAGACCAACCCAAACUUCUUAGGCUUGAAUCACUGAGUCAUUCCUGCCAUCAUAGUGAGGGGAUGUCUGUUUGUGUCACCAACUCUUAGUGAUCUCUGACUUUCCUCCUGAAUUACUAUUGCAUAGGCCUCGUUUACUGAAAUAACUAGUCUCCUCAUGAGAAAAUUGCUCCUAACAUUGUUAUAGAUCUCAUUCAGACCCUUAAGAAACUACAGUAGCCUAAUUUUCUCUAGAAGUUCAAGUGAAAGUCUAGACUCCUCACAAUCACAGGAAGACUUAGGGGCUAGCACAUUUAAUUCAUUCCACGAAUUACUCAUUCUAGAAUAAUAGGUUGUUACUGAAUAUGUACCUUGUUUUAGAGUAGCUAUUUCUAUCCAUAAGUGAUAAAUUCUCGUUAAACUGCAUCUGUCAAACUUCUCUUUGAAAUCACUCCAUACUUUCUUUGCAUUUGAUGCAAACACAAUUCCCGGCAUCAAUUCAUUUGCAACUGUGCUGCCAAUCCACGAGAGCACAAUUGCAUUAUAUUUCUCCCACUGUUCUGCGAGCUCUCCUUUAUACAUAAGUUUGACACAUGUUCCAUCCACAAAUCCCAGCUUACAUUUUACCCUCAGAGCUAAUUUCACCGCCCUGCUCCACAAGGCAUAAUUUUUUGGCCCUGUGAGCUUUAUUAGGACUAAUACUAACCUAGGAGCAUCCGAAGCUUAAAGAAAGAGUGGAUUAUUGUGUUCAAGUAGAGUUACCUCAUUUCCUGCCAUGUCUAUCAAGUGUGAGCUCCGUCAGAACUUGAUUAUCUAGGAAUUCUUCUCCAAUUGUCGGAAUCUUAGUCGGAACCCUAAUUGUUAGAUCGCGUCUCUAAUACCAUGUCAAAUUGAGCUAAAUUGAGGGAGCUAAUACACAUUCCUACACAUGCAAACAUGUAUCCUUCUCAUUGAUUCAAUUAUCAACUGAAUGUAGCAAAUUUACAGAGAAGAGGAAGAAGAAGACUAGAGAGAGAAAUUGAGAUCGGUAUAUUCUAGAAUCUCUAUGUUUCUAACUAACUAAUUAAUACAGAGAUUAUAAUAUAUAUUCUUAUACACCGUCUUUCUCCUCUACUUUGUUUAUUUACAAAUUGCCUUCUUUCAUUUACUUCUAUCUCCUACUUAGUCCCUAUUGUUGUAAUACUGCAUAGCUUCAUAACUGUUAAUAACUCUUUCUUCAAUUGCAUAAGCUAGUUUGAACUGAACAACAUUAGACUUUUGAGGUUGGUAUUGUUGGUGAUAGAAAUUUAUACUAUUAGUUGUUUUAACAGCAGCAGCAGAAGGAGGAACACUAGGCCUUCCUUUACUUCUUCCAUAGAAUUGUUCAUCUAG